Molecule: ribosomal RNA, 481 nt
Filed under: uncultured bacterium
Lineage: Bacteria
Description: partial 16S ribosomal RNA
Rfam family: Bacterial small subunit ribosomal RNA
Source: RNAcentral
GAUGAACGCUGGCGGCGUGCUUAACACAUGCAAGUCGAACGAAGCAUUUGCGACAGAUUUUUUCGGAAUGAAGUUGCUUAUGACUGAGUGGCGGACGGGUGAGUAACGCGUGGGUAACCUGCCUUGUACUGGGGGAUAGCAGCUGGAAACGGCUGGUAAUACCGCAUAAGCGCACAAUGUUGCAUGACAUGGUGUGAAAAACUCCGGUGGUAUAAGAUGGACCCGCGUCUGAUUAGCUAGUUGGUGAGAUAACAGCCCACCAAGGCGACGAUCAGUAGCCGACCUGAGAGGGUGACCGGCCACAUUGGAACUGAGACACGGCCCAGACUCCUACGGGAAGCAGCAGUGGGGAAUAUUGCACAAUGGAGGAAACUCUGAUGCAGCGACGCCGCGUGAGUGAAGAAGUAAUUCGUUAUGUAAAGCUCUAUCAGCAGGGAAGAUAGUGACGGUACCUGACUAAGAAGCUCCGGCUAAAUACGUG